GUAUUGGGUUAUGUUAUUGUUCCUGUUAACAUCACGUGUAAGUACCCGGAAUAAAAUCAGAUUAUAUUUUUAAAGCGUACAAAAACAGCCAUUGGAGUAGCAUUGUACCGUGUGGGGAUCGAUAAGUUACGCGUAAAAAAUAUACACAAUUUGAUCGACUAUUGACUUUUUUGGCACGCCCGGAUUUGGUGAGGUGCUGGGAUCGCUGUUGCCACACCGAUAGGAUCUGCUAAAUGAGGGUGAUGUAGAAUCGAUAGAAGUGA
Molecule: long non-coding RNA, 263 nt
Organism: Copidosoma floridanum
Lineage: Eukaryota; Metazoa; Arthropoda; Insecta; Hymenoptera; Encyrtidae
Source: RefSeq, a predicted model, not a curated record